RNAcentral lists this ribosomal RNA (451 nucleotides) under uncultured bacterium. RNAcentral describes it as "bacterial SSU rRNA". It matches the Rfam family "Bacterial small subunit ribosomal RNA", at positions 34 to 507 of the family's 1533-position model. The record is from RNAcentral.
CGCUGGCGGCGCGCCUAACACAUGCAAGUCGAACGAAGCUCUUCGGAGCUUAGUGGCGGACGGGUGAGUAACACGUGAGCAACCUGCCUCAUAGAGGGGGGAUAACGUUUGGAAACGAACGCUAAUACCGCAUAACGUAUUUUUUGGGGGCAUCCCUUAAAUACCAAAGCUUUAUGUGCUGAAAGAUGGUCUCGCGUCUGAUUAGCUAGAUGGCGGGGUAACGGCCCACCAUGGCGACGAUCAGUAGCCGGUCUGAGAGGAUGAACGGCCACAUUGGGACUGAGAUACGGCCCAGACUCCUACGGGAGGCAGCAGUGGGGAAUAUUGGGCAAUGGGCGCAAGCCUGACCCAGCAACGCCGCGUGAAGGAAGAAGGCUUCGGGUUGUAAACUUCUUUAUAAGGGACGAACACAAUGACGGUACCUUAUGAAUAAGCCACGGCUAACUACGUG